Patiria miniata (bat star) is the source of this 120-nucleotide small nuclear RNA. RefSeq annotates it as U5 spliceosomal RNA. The record is from RefSeq and is a predicted model, not a curated record. The transcript has a single exon. Lineage: Eukaryota; Metazoa; Echinodermata; Asteroidea; Valvatida; Asterinidae.
CUACUCAGGCUUAUCUGCAUUUCGCAUAAAUCUUUCGCCUUUUACUAAAGAUUUCCGUGCAGAUGAGCAUUUUGAUGAGUCUAUAAACAAUUUUUCCCUGGCUGAGCGAAAGCUUGGCCU